AAAUAAGUAAGCUAAUUUAAAAGCUUUUAGACUCAUACUCUAAACAUAGAAUUAUAUUCUCUUAUUUA
This 68-nucleotide transfer RNA is filed under the name Myrmica scabrinodis. RNAcentral describes it as "transfer RNA-Met". Lineage: Eukaryota; Metazoa; Arthropoda; Insecta; Hymenoptera; Formicidae. The record is from RNAcentral. RNAcentral also lists the same sequence under 1 other name.